CUAUAUUUUGCCUGUGAGACUUAAAUCCUUCAAUAACAAUAAAUGGUAUAUAUGCAUCAAAGAACGGGAUGUGCAGCUUUCCUGGCCUUUCACACUUUUUAGAAUGAAAUGGAUCUUAGAAUCAAAUGGAAGAAAAGCUCUCUAUCCUCCUCUUUUUCUGCCUAAAAGUAGGAAAUACAUUUUCCUUUAGUGAAGAGGGCUCUAGAUGCUUAUUAGCCCAGAGAUGGCACCAGAGGAAUCUGCAGUACUCCAUGAGUUUCCUACCAUAUAUUUACAUUCCCACAGUUUCCCACCUUUGUAGCCUAAAAACGACUUUCCUCUGUCCUUUCUUUAUCUACAAAUUGAUUGUUCUUUGUUGAAGAUGGUUUGUAAACCAGAGUUCUAAGCCACUGUUUUGAGUUACUUUUCAUGAGGUUUCUCCUGUGAUGUGUGCUGCACACAUUAAUAAAUUUGUUUUUCUCUUGUUAAUCUGUCUUUUGUUACAGUGGCCUGUCCCAACAGGAACUCACAUGGGUUGAGAAAAAAAAUUUUUCCUUCCUGACAGUUUUUGGCAAUGCAGAUGGGACUUUCUGGGAUACCCCAUCCACUCUGGAACCUGCAGAUGAAAUCCUAGCAAAACUGGCAGAAGCUGGUAAAAGAAAGAUUCAUGGAAAGCACUCUGACAAAUACAGGCUUCUGAUAACUUCAAGAUCAUACCAUUUGGCCAGAAAUGCCUCUUAUUAGAUCACCAUAUAGAGGCCUAACUUUGAUGAGAGCUCACCUGCAAUAUCUCCUGAAAUGAGACACAACUGCUUAAUUGAAUUGACCUAUUCUCAGCACUAAGACAAUGAUUUGAUAUGGGGCAAUGUACUUAAAUUUGUUCAGCUGCACUUGUUCCAAUCUAUGUUUUCCUCUUCCUUUGCCAAUCCCUGAUCUCACAAUCUCUAAUCCAAAUCUCUUCAAAGCUACCAACUUGGAGAGUUCUAAGCCACCAUUUUGAGUUACUUUGUGUUGUGGUUUCUCCUGCAUUGUGUGCUGCACGUAUUAAUAAACUUGUUUUUCUCUUAUUAAUC
This 1052-nucleotide long non-coding RNA is filed under the name Homo sapiens (human). Its description in RNAcentral is "HSALNT0109303". The record is from RNAcentral. Lineage: Eukaryota; Metazoa; Chordata; Mammalia; Primates; Hominidae.